Molecule: ribosomal RNA, 539 nt
Filed under: Pediococcus pentosaceus
Lineage: Bacteria; Bacillati; Bacillota; Bacilli; Lactobacillales; Lactobacillaceae
Description: bacterial SSU rRNA
Rfam family: Bacterial small subunit ribosomal RNA
Source: RNAcentral
UUGAUUAUGACGUACUUGUACUGAUUGAGAUUUUAACACGAAGUGAGUGGCGAACGGGUGAGUAACACGUGGGUAACCUGCCCAGAAGUAGGGGAUAACACCUGGAAACAGAUGCUAAUACCGUAUAACAGAGAAAACCGCAUGGUUUUCUUUUAAAAGAUGGCUCUGCUAUCACUUCUGGAUGGACCCGCGGCGUAUUAGCUAGUUGGUGAGGUAAAGGCUCACCAAGGCAGUGAUACGUAGCCGACCUGAGAGGGUAAUCGGCCACAUUGGGACUGAGACACGGCCCAGACUCCUACGGGAGGCAGCAGUAGGGAAUCUUCCACAAUGGACGCAAGUCUGAUGGAGCAACGCCGCGUGAGUGAAGAAGGGUUUCGGCUCGUAAAGCUCUGUUGUUAAAGAAGAACGUGGGUAAGAGUAACUGUUUACCCAGUGACGGUAUUUAACCAGAAAGCCACGGCUAACUACGUGCCAGCAGCCGCGGUAAUACGUAGGUGGCAAGCGUUAUCCGGAUUUAUUGGGCGUAAAGCGAGCGCAGG